UCCCGGGUCGUCUAAGGGCAGGACGGUGUCUUUUGGUGUCACAUAUGGAGGUUCGAAUCCUUCCCCGGGAG
RNAcentral lists this transfer RNA (71 nucleotides) under Streptomyces mangrovisoli. It matches the Rfam family "tRNA". Rfam says of the family: Transfer RNA (tRNA) molecules are approximately 80 nucleotides in length. Their secondary structure includes four short double-helical elements and three loops (D, anti-codon, and T loops). Lineage: Bacteria; Bacillati; Actinomycetota; Actinomycetes; Kitasatosporales; Streptomycetaceae. The record is from Rfam by way of RNAcentral.